Molecule: ribosomal RNA, 624 nt
Filed under: fungal endophyte
Lineage: Eukaryota; Fungi
Description: eukaryotic LSU rRNA
Rfam family: 5.8S ribosomal RNA (bases 180-333)
Source: RNAcentral
UUAAAGAGUUCUAUAACUCCCAAACCCAUGUGAACAUACCUAACGUUGCCUCGGCAGGUCGCACCUACCUUGUAGCACCCUACCCUGUAGGGCCUACCCGGGAGGUGCGGGUAAGCCUGCCGGCGGCCCACCAAACUCUGUUUGAUAUUGAAUUCUGAACCUAUAACUAAAUAAGUUAAAACUUUCAACAACGGAUCUCUUGGUUCUGGCAUCGAUGAAGAACGCAGCGAAAUGCGAUAAGUAAUGUGAAUUGCAGAAUUCAGUGAAUCAUCGAAUCUUUGAACGCAUAUUGCGCCCAUUAGUAUUCUAGUGGGCAGGACCGUUCGAGCGUCAUUUCAACCCUUAAGCCUUCGUUGCUUAGUGUUGGGAGCCUACGGCAACGUAGCUCCUCAAAGUUAGUGGCGGAGUUGGUUCACACUCUAGACGUAGUAAUUUUUUAUCUCGCCUAUUAGUUGGACUAAUCCCCUGCCGUAAAACCCCCAAUUUAUCAAGGUUGACCUCGAAUCGGUUCAGACAAACUCGCUAAAUUGAAGCAUCUUAGUCAGCGAAGGAAAAGAAACCAACAGGGAUUGCCCUAGUAACGGCGAGUGAAGCGGCAACAGCUCAAAUUUGAAAUCUGGCCCU